Molecule: non-coding RNA, 109 nt
Organism: Octopus bimaculoides (California two-spot octopus)
Lineage: Eukaryota; Metazoa; Mollusca; Cephalopoda; Octopoda; Octopodidae
Source: Rfam
AUAUACUAGCUUCGGCUGUACAUAUACAAAAAUUGGAACGCUAUAGAGAAGAUUAGCAUGGACACUGCGCAAAGACAACACGAAAAAUCGUGAAGCGGUACCCCAGCAU